This 346-nucleotide ribosomal RNA is filed under the name uncultured eukaryote. Its description in RNAcentral is "SSU rRNA". It matches the Rfam family "Eukaryotic small subunit ribosomal RNA", at positions 567 to 990 of the family's 1831-position model. The record is from RNAcentral.
CCAGCAUCCGCGGUAAUUCCAGCUCCAAUAGCGUAUAUUAAAGUUGUUGCAGUUAAAAAGCUCGUAGUGGGAUUUUUAGAUAGGGGGGUAUUGGUACUUUGCUUGUCUACCAGUCAUAGACUGUUACUGUGAGAAAAUUAGAGUGUUUAAAGCAGGCUGUUGCAAGAAUACAUUAGCAUGGAAUAACGAAUGUGUCUGGAAUAUUGGUUAAUUCUAGAUUACGAUUAAUAGGGACAGUUGGGGGCAUUAGUAUUUAAUUGUCAGAGGUGAAAUUCUUGGAUUUAUUAAAGACUAACGUAUGCGAAAGCAUUUGCCAAGGAUGUUUUCAUUAAUCAAGAACGAAAGU